AUGAAGCGAGAGACGGGAGCUCACCCACGACGUACACUGGCAGCUGGAGGCAGCAUCACGGUGCUCACCUUUCUCCCACCUGGCCACCACGCCGGAAGAGCACAGGGGACGGGCGGAGGGCAACCGGAAGCACCGGGAAGGCACGGCGACCUGGAGAUCCAGCGCCGGGACUCGGUGAUCCAGAGCCAAAUGGGCAUCGCAGACAGGCAGAGUGACACAGUGACAUCACUGACAAAUGUUAAAAUAUAUCCAUCGUGGUGGGCAUGGCGGCGUUUACUUGUAAUCCCAGCGGUUUUAUGGAUGAAGGAGGAGAUCCACAUGCGUUCGAAGCCAGCCUGGGCUACAUUCAGUAGUGACACAUUGUCUCAAACACCAGAAAAUAAAUAAAUAACGUGUAUCUAAAUUCCCUUUGUUCUAUACAGCCAAGUUUCUACGCAUUUUUGGCAUACAAUAUAACUAAGCCUUAAAACAACAAAACUCAGGGAUGUAACAGAAGGCAAAGACGUUUCUAAUCCCCAGACCAGGUUUCCAAAGAUCAACAGAGGGAUAAAAAGACGUUUGGACGCACCCAACUAAAUUUUUUGUAGUGCACUUUGGAUCAGUACAGCUUUUAAAUUUCAAACUUGAGAAUACUCUGGGAAUUUCUAUUAGAAGAAAAAAACCUGAAACUGAUCUCUCCCAUUUUGCUGAACUGCAGCAACCACGUAUGAAUACAGACUCCGGGGCACAACUAAGCCACCUCUGUAAAGUCCUCGCCCUAAGAUUAUUUUUGGAAGUAGGGAUUUUCCAGAUUACUGAAAGUCACAGCGCUGUCACAGGCAGGGCCCGAAUUUCGCAACGGAGCUAUGCUGGGGAGCCCGGCUUCCUCCCGGAGAGGACGUUUGCACCGGAACCGACAUGGGCGUUCCCGUUUCCGAUCAACACUCUAGAGCAGCCCUCUCCCGACCGCUCACCGCCUGCUUUCGAGGACAAGUUCGUCCUCGCACACCAGAAUCCACAAGUGACGCCGCCAGGGCGGCGAGGGUCGGUCUGAGCUCCUUUUUGGGCCGCGCAACAGCGACCGUUUACUAGAGGGAAGCAGGCGACCAGAAGGGACGCAGUUUUGGGACAAAUUCCUAAAAUCGCGCAGGGGCAGUAUUCCGCCAAUACUAUCUUGGGGGUAAAGGAUUUUCGCGAACUUCCCCUAGUCUUGUAACUAAAUAUUUCACGAGCUAGGCGGCCUCGCCU
Molecule: long non-coding RNA, 1227 nt
Filed under: Fukomys damarensis (Damara mole-rat)
Lineage: Eukaryota; Metazoa; Chordata; Mammalia; Rodentia; Bathyergidae
Description: lncRNA (ENSFDAG00000033437.1)
Source: RNAcentral